Molecule: transfer RNA, 75 nt
Filed under: Ilumatobacteraceae bacterium
Lineage: Bacteria; Bacillati; Actinomycetota; Acidimicrobiia; Acidimicrobiales; Ilumatobacteraceae
Description: tRNA-Met
Rfam family: tRNA
About the family: Transfer RNA (tRNA) molecules are approximately 80 nucleotides in length. Their secondary structure includes four short double-helical elements and three loops (D, anti-codon, and T loops). Further hydrogen bonds mediate the characteristic L-shaped molecular structure. tRNAs have two regions of fundamental functional importance: the anti-codon, which is responsible for specific mRNA codon recognition, and the 3' end, to which the tRNAs corresponding amino acid is attached (by aminoacyl-tRNA synthetases). tRNAs cope with the degeneracy of the genetic code in two manners: having more than one tRNA (with a specific anti-codon) for a particular amino acid; and 'wobble' base-pairing, i.e. permitting non-standard base-pairing at the 3rd anti-codon position.
Source: RNAcentral
GGCGGGAUGGAGCAGAUGGUCAGCUCGCGAGCCUCAUAAGCUCGAGGUCGUAGGUUCGAAUCCUACUCCCGCACC